Molecule: RNA transcript, 1032 nt
Organism: Diospyros lotus (date-plum)
Lineage: Eukaryota; Viridiplantae; Streptophyta; Magnoliopsida; Ericales; Ebenaceae
Exons: 5
Source: RefSeq, a predicted model, not a curated record
UUACUCCGACCGGCUCCAUCCGUUGUUGCAUUUCUCUCUCUCUCUCUCUCUCUGUAUGUAUGUAUAUGAAUCGAUGUAGAGCCGACCCGAGAAUGCAUAAGUCGGUCCAGUGCGCAUUCUCUCUGUGGAGCUAGCCCUAGCUCCACCUUGUUGUCUCACUUCGAAUGGCGGUGAAUUCGUGCGAGGAGGAUGCGUAUUACAUUUUAGUGGUACCCGAUGAAGGUACCGCAGAUCCAAACUGUGAAUCGCAGUUAAGGCACGCAGAAGUCCCCAACCCACUCGAUUGUCAGAUGUGCUUGAAGGCCGAAUUAAAUUCCCAAAACUGCAUCAAUGUAGAUAGGGAUAUCGACGUAGGAAAUUCAUUGAUGCCUAAAACCAAUGAUGGAGAUGCAAACUUAAUGACCGAGGGUCCUUUGACCUUUGAUGUUUUUCUUUCAGUUUUUUCAUCGAUGGAAAAAUGAUGAUUAAAUAGCAUUUGCAGAAAGCCUUCCAGAGACAGAUCAGCUUACAGAUAGGGGAGAAAUUCAUGCAGCUUUUAAUGAAUGACAGCUCGGUCUUGCCCAAGUUCACUUGUAAAGAUAAUUCUGCUGCUGAUAGGGUUCAUGAAGCUCCUAACAACAGAACGAGGAAAUACAAGCGCUCCGCUUCAUUCAAUUCAAGAAAAGUUGCUCUCCUUUUCUCUGUCCUGUCAAUUAUGGGAACGGUGGUGCUGAUUUACUUGACAUUGAGAGUGAGACAGAUCGGUGUUCACGACUGAUAAGUUCUGCAAGUACCACCCUUUGUUGCUUGAUCUUCCUUUCGUUAAAGUUCUCUCCAAGUUUUCCAGUUUUCUGUUUUCUUCUGUUUUUUUUUAUAUACAGUUUCGUUUUUCUUUUUACUUUCAGAUUUUUAGUUCCAAGUUCAUUUUUUUUUUCCCAUUGUACAUAAGCUGACUUUACAUUCAUAUCAAUAGUUCUUGUCAUCCAGUAUAUUCCUAUUCCUUCUUAUUACAAAUCAUGAUGGUUUAAAUAAAUUGCUUCAAUUUUAUGUUGA